Tribolium castaneum (red flour beetle) is the source of this 92-nucleotide non-coding RNA. The record is from RefSeq and is marked provisional. NCBI's taxonomy places the organism in Eukaryota, Metazoa, Arthropoda, Insecta, Coleoptera, Tenebrionidae.
CUUUUCGUCAUUUAAUAAUCGCGAUUGGCACACCUGCCGCUCCAAUAUUCAGAAAUAUAGGCAGAUGCAGCGCCGGUUGUGGUGAUGUGUGU